Molecule: ribosomal RNA, 492 nt
Filed under: uncultured bacterium
Lineage: Bacteria
Description: bacterial SSU rRNA
Rfam family: Bacterial small subunit ribosomal RNA
Source: RNAcentral
GGCUCAGAUUGAACGCUGGCGGCAUGCUUUACACAUGCAAGUCGAACGGCAGCGGGGGCUUCGGCCUGCCGGCGAGUGGCGAACGGGUGAGUAAUGCAUCGGAACGUGCCCAUGUCGUGGGGGAUAACGUAGCGAAAGCUACGCUAAUACCGCAUACGUCCUGAGGGAGAAAGCGGGGGAUCUUCGGACCUCGCGCGAUUGGAGCGGCCGAUGUCGGAUUAGCUAGUAGGUGAGGUAAAGGCUCACCUAGGCGACGAUCCGUAGCGGGUCUGAGAGGAUGAUCAGCCACACUGGCACUGAAACACGGGCCAGACUCCUACGGGAGGCAGCAGUGGGGAAUAUUGGACAAUGGGCGCAAGCCUGAUCCAGCCACGCCGCGUGAGUGAUGAAGGCCUUCGGGUUGUAAAGCUCUGUGGGGAGGGGCGAAAACGGCCGGUAAGAAACGACCGGUCCUUGACGGUACCUCCUUAGCAAGCACCGGCUAACUCUGUG